This 362-nucleotide ribosomal RNA is filed under the name Gephyromantis luteus. RNAcentral's name for it is "partial 16S ribosomal RNA". It matches the Rfam family "Bacterial large subunit ribosomal RNA", at positions 2006 to 2536 of the family's 2925-position model. Lineage: Eukaryota; Metazoa; Chordata; Amphibia; Anura; Mantellidae. The record is from RNAcentral.
GAGGGUUAUACUGUCUCCUUUCUCUAAUCAGUGAAACUAAUCUCCCCGUGAAGAAGCGGGGAUAAAAUUAUAAGACGAGAAGACCCCAUGGAGCUUUAAACCUAGCCACACCCAGAAUCUUUAUACCUAACUAUUAUCUGAACCCUGUAAGCUAGGCUUUAGGUUGGGGUGACCGCGGAGUAAAACAAAACCUCCGCAAUGAACGAAACUACCGUCUUAUCUAAGAAUAACCCCUCUAAGAAUUAGCACUCUAACAUAAAUGAUCCAAUUAUUGAUCAACGGACCAAGUUACCCUGGGGAUAACAGCGCAAUCCACUUCAAGAGCUCCUAUCGACAGGUGGGUUUACGACCUCGAUGUUGGA